This 468-nucleotide ribosomal RNA is filed under the name uncultured bacterium. Its description in RNAcentral is "partial 16S ribosomal RNA". It matches the Rfam family "Bacterial small subunit ribosomal RNA", at positions 28 to 507 of the family's 1533-position model. The record is from RNAcentral.
GACGAACGCUGGCGGCGUGCUUAACACAUGCAAGUCGAACGGAAAGGCCCUGCUUUUCUGGGGUGCUCGAGUGGCGAACGGGUGAGUAACACGUGAGUAACCUGCCCUUGACUUUGGGAUAACUUCAGGAAACUGGGGCUAAUACCGGAUAGGAGCUCCUGCUGCAUGGUGGGGGUUGGAAAGUUUCGGCGGUUGGGGAUGGACUCGCGGCUUAUCAGCUUGUUGGUUGGGUAGUGGCUUACCAAGGGUUUGACGGGUAGCCGGCCUGAGAGGGUGACCGGACAAAUUGGGACUGAGAUACGGCCCAGAAUCCAACGGGAGGCAGCAGUGGGGAAUAUUGCACAAUGGGCGGAAGCCUGAUGCAGCAACGCCGCGUGCGGGAUGACGGCCUUCGGGUUGUAAACCGAUUUCGCCUGUGACGAAGCGUGAGUGACGGUAAUGGGUAAAGAAGCACCGGCUAACUACGUG